RNAcentral lists this ribosomal RNA (443 nucleotides) under uncultured bacterium. RNAcentral's name for it is "partial 16S ribosomal RNA". It matches the Rfam family "Bacterial small subunit ribosomal RNA", at positions 338 to 795 of the family's 1533-position model. The record is from RNAcentral.
CCUACGGGUGACAGCAGUGGGGAAUAUUGGGCAAUGGGCGCAAGCCUGACCCAGCAACGCCGCGUGAAGGAAGAAGGCUUUCGGGUUGUAAACUUCUUUUCUCAGGGACGAAGAAAGUGACGGUACCUGAGGAAUAAGCCACGGCUAACUACGUGCCAGCAGCCGCGGUAAUACGUAGGUGGCAAGCGUUAUCCGGAUUUACUGGGUGUAAAGGGCGGGUAGGCGGGAAAGCAAGUCAGAUGUGAAAACCAUGGGCUCAACCUGUGGCCUGCAUUUGAAACUGUUUUUCUUGAGUACUGGAGAGGCAGACGGAAUUCCUCGUGUAGCGGUGAAAUGCGUAGAUAUGAGGAGGAACACCAGUGGCGAAGGCGGUCUGCUGGACAGCAACUGACGCUGAGGCGCGAAAGCGUGGGGAGCAAACAGGAUUAGAUACCCCAGUAGUC